AGUUUUGCCGGACCACCUGGCCAAGUCGGUUUUAUUCCUUCCUCCCACAGUAGAGCAAGACCACAAAGUUUAGCAGCACCUCGAAGCCAAGUCAGCUCGAUUCCUUACUCCUCAAGUUUAGCAGCACCUCCAAGCCAGGAAAAUGUCCCAUGGUGGUGGUUACCUAAAGGAAAAAUACAAGAUGUGGCAGCAGAUUCAGAGUGGAAAAGUUCCAGACUCCAGACACCCUGUGAUGUGCGUUAGGGACCACUUGCUGCUGCUUCUUCACAUGGCAGUAGACCUAGGAAUAAACAAGUGCUCGGGGGUUACUCACCUUAUCAUCUUUCUUCGGAGGAGA
Molecule: long non-coding RNA, 337 nt
Organism: Tachyglossus aculeatus (Australian echidna)
Lineage: Eukaryota; Metazoa; Chordata; Mammalia; Monotremata; Tachyglossidae
Exons: 3
Source: RefSeq, a predicted model, not a curated record